This 65-nucleotide microRNA precursor is filed under the name Climacteris rufus (rufous treecreeper). RNAcentral describes it as "Climacteris rufa (rufous treecreeper) mir-302 microRNA precursor family". It matches the Rfam family "mir-302 microRNA precursor family". RNAcentral also lists the same sequence under 1 other name. Lineage: Eukaryota; Metazoa; Chordata; Aves; Passeriformes; Climacteridae. The record is from Rfam by way of RNAcentral.
CCUUUGCUUUAACAUGGAGGUACCUGCUGCUUAAAAAAGUAAGUGCUUCCAUGUUUCAGUGGCGG